Long non-coding RNA from Drosophila montana, 556 nucleotides. RefSeq lists it as uncharacterized. NCBI's taxonomy places the organism in Eukaryota, Metazoa, Arthropoda, Insecta, Diptera, Drosophilidae. The record is from RefSeq and is a predicted model, not a curated record. The transcript has 2 exons.
UUGGAAAGUUUGUCAUUCCAUUUGUUUAUUAGAAACUAAUUUAUUAUCAAGCAAAACAUUUUGAUCAAGUUCAAGUUAAAGUGUGCUGCCAUUGAACAUAUUUUGAUACACUACCAAAAAUAAAUAUAAAUAAGGCAUCUGGAGGCACAUUCGUUUAUUUUCACACCUGUGUCUCACACAUUUUCACACCUCUGAUGUUUCUGUGCCUAAGUAUUCAAAUCAGCACACAGCUGUUUUUAUCUUUGGGCAACACAAGCAACUGUUGCUCAUAAGUAUGAAAAAUUGUAAAAUGAAAACUUUAAGAAACAAAGACGGAAACAGAGAACUAAGCUACUUAUAGCGUAUUUCUCCCCAAACCGCACAAUUUAAAGGAAACCCGCACUUGAAUCGAGGUCGAAUGAAGUUGGGCCACCGCUAACAAAUAUGAUCUCCACCAUCUGCCUCAAGUUGAAUCCCAUAGUCUUAAUUUAAUUUUCUGUAUUUUUUAUAGCACACAGUGAGUCAUUUUUUUCGUUGUAAUUUAAGCAAAUAGAUUUCUGUUGACAUCCUCUACAAA